This 497-nucleotide ribosomal RNA is filed under the name uncultured bacterium. RNAcentral's name for it is "partial 16S ribosomal RNA". It matches the Rfam family "Bacterial small subunit ribosomal RNA", at positions 28 to 507 of the family's 1533-position model. The record is from RNAcentral.
GAUGAACGCUGGCGGCGUGCCUAAUACAUGCAAGUCGAGCGAACAGACGAGGAGCUUGCUCCUCUGACGUUAGCGGCGGACGGGUGAGUAACACGUGGAUAACCUACCUAUAAGACUGGGAUAACUUCGGGAAACCGGAGCUAAUACCGGAUAAUAUAUUGAACCGCAUGGUUCAAUAGUGAAAGACGGUUUUGCUGUCACUUAUAGAUGGAUCCGCGCCGCAUUAGCUAGUUGGUAAGGUAACGGCUUACCAAGGCAACGACGCGUAGCCGACCUGAGAGGGUGAUCGGCCCCACUGGAACUGAGACACGGUCCAGACUCCUACGGGAGGCAGCAGUAGGGAAUCUUCCGCAAUGGGCGAAAGCCUGACGGAGCAACGCCGCGUGAGUGAUGAAGGUCUUCGGAUCGUAAAACUCUGUUAUUAGGGAAGAACAAAUGUGUAAGUAACUAUGCACGUCUUGACGGUACCUAAUCAGAAAGCCACGGCUAACUACGUG